This 253-nucleotide ribosomal RNA is filed under the name uncultured bacterium. RNAcentral describes it as "partial 16S ribosomal RNA". It matches the Rfam family "Bacterial small subunit ribosomal RNA", at positions 524 to 776 of the family's 1533-position model. The record is from RNAcentral.
UACGUAGGGUGCGAGCGUUGUCCGGAAUUACUGGGCGUAAAGAGCUCGUAGGUGGUUUGUCGCGUUGUCCGUGAAAACUCACAGCUCAACUGUGGGCGUGCGGGCGAUACGGGCAGACUGGAGUACUGCAGGGGAGACUGGAAUUCCUGGUGUAGCGGUGGAAUGCGCAGAUAUCAGGAGGAACACUGGUGGCGAAGGCGGGUCUCUGGGCAGUAACUGACGCUGAGGAGCGAAAGCGUGGGGAGCGAACAGG